Ailuropoda melanoleuca (giant panda) is the source of this 637-nucleotide long non-coding RNA. RefSeq lists it as uncharacterized. The record is from RefSeq and is a predicted model, not a curated record. The transcript is spliced from 3 exons. NCBI's taxonomy places the organism in Eukaryota, Metazoa, Chordata, Mammalia, Carnivora, Ursidae.
AGAAGACAGCCUCCCCAAGCUUCCUGCACCACGCCUGCUCACCCAUCUGCAUCCUCCCCACCCACCCGGCCUUGUUCCUGGUGGUAUGAGGGUUGGCGCCGGCAGUGGCACAGAAGGACAUUCUCUAAGGACAAUGCACCCCUAGUGCCUGCACCUGGGAGGACCGCACCCACAGCCCACGCUGGAAGGCCACGGGCAAGACUCCCUACCAGAAAGAGGAGACCAGAAAGAAAGGCAGUGGGCCGACCUGACGUUGCCACAGUGAGGACAGAACCCUGCGAGCCAUGGAGGCUGCAGGAACAAGUCUCCCUCUGGAUCCAAGGGAAGGGUUCCUCCAUGAACAAGCAGAUGGAGUAAUGACCUAAGAGAAUUCUUCCCUACCAAACGACACAGGAAAUAGAAAUUUAACAAAGCAGAACAUUGCUUCAUCAAUGAAAAUCUCUCAUGAAUACUGUCGAUCGAUAUUUUAUUUUUUCCAAGAAAUGCUUUAUUCCUAAGGAACCCAAAAGGCUUCCUGUUCAAACAAGGAGAGAUUACAGUAACACUUCUUUUCUUUAUACGAGGCCAUGUUGUUUUCAACAUGCUUCCUGCUGACCCUACCACGACCCUACCAUUUAGGCAACAAAGGGCUUGUAAA